UGGGGAAUAUUGGACAAUGGGCGAAAGCCUGAUCCAGCCAUGCCGCGUGUGUGAAGAAGGCCUUUUGGUUGUAAAGCACUUUAAGCGAGGAGGAGGCUACUUAGAUUAAUACUCUAGGAUAGUGGACGUUACUCGCAGAAUAAGCACCGGCUAACUCUGUGCCAGCAGCCGCGGUAAUACAGAGGGUGCGAGCGUUAAUCGGAUUUACUGGGCGUAAAGCGUGCGUAGGCGGCUUCUUAAGUCGGAUGUGAAAUCCCUGAGCUUAACUUAGGAAUUGCAUUCGAUACUGGGAAGCUAGAGUAUGGGAGAGGAUGAUAGAAUUCCAGGUGUAGCGGUGAAAUGCGUAGAGAUCUGAAGGAAUACCGAUGGCGAAGGCAGCCAUCUGGCCUAAUACUGACGCUGAGGUACGAAAGCAUGGGGAGCAAACAGG
RNAcentral lists this ribosomal RNA (430 nucleotides) under Acidobacteriota bacterium. Its description in RNAcentral is "Acidobacteria bacterium partial 16S ribosomal RNA". It matches the Rfam family "Bacterial small subunit ribosomal RNA", at positions 355 to 776 of the family's 1533-position model. Lineage: Bacteria; Pseudomonadati; Acidobacteriota. The record is from RNAcentral.